AAAUUGAAGAGUUUGAUCAUGGCUCAGAUUGAACGCUGGCGGCAGGCCUAACACAUGCAAGUCGAACGGUAACAGGAAGCAGCUUGCUGCUUUGCUGACGAGUGGCGGACGGGUGAGUAAUGUCUGGGAAACUGCCUGAUGGAGGGGGAUAACUACUGGAAACGGUAGCUAAUACCGCAUAACGUCGCAAGACCAAAGAGGGGGACCUUCGGGCCUCUUGCCAUCGGAUGUGCCCAGAUGGGA
This 243-nucleotide ribosomal RNA is filed under the name Escherichia coli. RNAcentral's name for it is "partial 16S ribosomal RNA". It matches the Rfam family "Bacterial small subunit ribosomal RNA", at positions 1 to 240 of the family's 1533-position model. RNAcentral also lists the same sequence under 1 other name. The record is from RNAcentral. Lineage: Bacteria; Pseudomonadati; Pseudomonadota; Gammaproteobacteria; Enterobacterales; Enterobacteriaceae.